This 510-nucleotide unclassified non-coding RNA is filed under the name Hevea brasiliensis (rubber tree). Lineage: Eukaryota; Viridiplantae; Streptophyta; Magnoliopsida; Malpighiales; Euphorbiaceae. The record is from RNAcentral.
AAGCGAGGGAAUUUUUUUUUUUUUUUUUUGAGAAAUAAACGAGGGAGGUUAAGGAGACCAAGAAAGAGAUCCUUUUGUAGAGACGCGCGAUACUGUUGGAGGUUUGUGGGUGUUGUUUUAAAAGCCGUGGCGUUACAGACUUGUCAGGAGAAGUGUCAGUAACUGAACUUGGUUUCAUUUUGACAAGGAAAGCAGAGUCCCCUAGGCCCUAGCACUAGCACCAGCUAUGUUAAGAUGAUGGCAUUGAGGGGACUUAACGAUAUUCCCAUGGCGGACCAAACAUACAAAUAAUUUACUGUUUCGGGGUUAUACCACUGUGACAACUUGGUCCAUUUCCAGAAUGAAUACAAACCCUACUAGUCUGGUUAACGCUCUAGUUCUUACCCUACAGAACCACGAUUGAAGUACCAUUCAAAUUUCGUUAAGUUUCGUUACACCGCACCACGUACCAAUAUGAACCUUACCAGGACUCAAGCGAAUUCUUCUGUAGAACUACUCGCUUUGCUUCAA